Chiloscyllium plagiosum (whitespotted bambooshark) is the source of this 228-nucleotide non-coding RNA. The record is from RefSeq and is a predicted model, not a curated record. NCBI's taxonomy places the organism in Eukaryota, Metazoa, Chordata, Chondrichthyes, Orectolobiformes, Hemiscylliidae.
AAGGGUCGAACUUCAUUCCGACGAAUGACACACAUUACAAUAAAACGAGUAAUCCAGGAAUGACUUCAACAGAAGCAAAUGCGAGGAUUUUGAAAUUUUCUUGUGAGUCCCCAAACUGUCCAGUUCGUUUCAAUCCAAACUCAAAUUGUUCGAAACAUGAAUCGACGAAGCUCUUUUCUAGAAGUAACAGGUUGGAAAUUCCUUGGCGUGCAAUUAAACAAGUGACAG